AUUGAACGCUGGCGGCAGGCCUAACACAUGCAAGUCGAGCGGAUGAAGGGAGCUUGCUCCUGGAUUCAGCGGCGGACGGGUGAGUAAUGCCUAGGAAUCUGCCUGGUAGUGGGGGAUAACGUCCGGAAACGGGCGCUAAUACCGCAUACGUCCUGAGGGAGAAAGUGGGGGAUCUUCGGACCUCACGCUAUCAGAUGAGCCUAGGCUGGAUUAGCUAGUUGGUGGGGUAAAGGCCUACCAAGGCGACGAUCCGUAACUGGUCUGAGAGGAUGAUCAGUCACACUGGAACUGAGACACGGUCCAGACUCCUACGGGAGGCAGCAGUGGGGAAUAUUGGACAAUGGGCGAAAGCCUGAUCCAGCCAUGCCGCGUGUGUGAAGAAGGUCUUCGGAUUGUAAAGCACUUUAAGUUGGGAGGAAGGGCAGUAAGUUAAUACCUUGCUGUUUUGACGUUACCAACAGAAUAAGCACCGGCUAACUUCGUG
Molecule: ribosomal RNA, 484 nt
Filed under: uncultured bacterium
Lineage: Bacteria
Description: partial 16S ribosomal RNA
Rfam family: Bacterial small subunit ribosomal RNA
Source: RNAcentral